Molecule: microRNA precursor, 103 nt
Filed under: Marmota monax (woodchuck)
Lineage: Eukaryota; Metazoa; Chordata; Mammalia; Rodentia; Sciuridae
Source: RNAcentral
AGUGUGAUUACCGGAUCAUAUGGUAAGAGUAUUUUUAGUUUUGUAGGAAACUGCCAAGCUCUCUUCGGAAAUGACUAUGCCAUUCUGCAUCCCUACCAGCAAU